Cuculus canorus (common cuckoo) is the source of this 3920-nucleotide RNA transcript. It is a transcript of the gene named TAFA chemokine like family member 2, with no coding region annotated. The record is from RefSeq and is a predicted model, not a curated record. Lineage: Eukaryota; Metazoa; Chordata; Aves; Cuculiformes; Cuculidae. The transcript is spliced from 9 exons.
GCUGCCCGCUGUGCGGGAACUUCGCGCCCCGCAUCGCUGCUCGGGAGGGCAGAGGAGGGAGGGCAGAGCAGCGCUGCUGGCGGAGCUCCCCCCUCCAGCCUCGGCGGCCGCGGGGACCUGUGAAGGUGCUGCUGGGGAGAAGAGCAGCGAAGAGCCGGAUAACCAGCGGGGAGGAGAAGGGCAUCCUCCCCGCAGCCUCCAUCCCCCGCGGGGCGCGCUCGGAGCUGCCCGUCCCGGCGCGGGGCGGCGGCGGCCGCUGAAGGUGAAGCUCUCGUUCUCCAAUUACUUUUCCCAAGAGGGAGAAAGAAGGAGGCAGCAGGAGGGGGAAGUCGUGCUGUGUGUGAAAGGCAAACCAAUCAGAGAUGCUCUGACGGCGGGAUUGCUGCAGGACGCGCCGGCUUUCCCUCCCUUUCCCUGCCGGCGGGGCUGAGCCGGGACCGCCGGCGGCCGCCGGGCAUCCUCACCCCCCGCUAUCCCAACAGCUAAUCGUCCUCUUUGAUCGAUCGAUUUAUUUGAACGCUCCGAAACCUCGCCCGAACAGCACUUCGAGUCUUCCCUCUUUCCCCAGGCACUCUCCCCGGUUCGUCGAGCCCCUCUUGGCCGGAUUCCUGCCGUGUUCCCAGCGCGGCUCCCAUGCCCGCGGGCGCUGGCGGGGCGCUCGCCGGCGAUGCCCGGGCGCUGAGGCUGCAGCUCCCCCGCCACGGGAGCCGGCCGCUCGCUAGGUGUUUGCAGCGGGAAGCGGGGCUGCAGGAUGAGUAAGAGGUACUUACCGAAAGCAACAAAAGGAAAACUGCUAAUAAUAAUAUUUGUUGUAACGCUGUGGGGGAAAUUAGCAUCUGGGGCAAAUCAUCAUAAAGCUCACCAUGUUAAAACUGGGACCUGUGAAGUGGUGGCACUCCACAGAUGUUGCAAUAAGAACAAGAUAGAAGAAAGAUCACAGACAGUGAAGUGCUCCUGCUUCCCUGGGCAGGUAGCAGGUACCACACGGGCAGCUCCUUCUUGUGUCGAUGCUUCAAUAGUGGAGCAGAAAUGGUGGUGCCAUAUGCAACCAUGUCUUGAAGGGGAAGAGUGUAAGGUUCUUCCAGACCGCAAAGGAUGGAGCUGUUCCUCUGGGAAUAAAGUGAAAACAACUAGGUUGUCUUAUAUUCCCUCAGCUUUGGCAGUAUUCCUGGAGCCAAAUGUGAGUGCACUACCUCAAAAUGCCAGCAGUGGAAGCUGGUAGGCAAGUGGGGAAAAAUCACCAGAGGAAUCUCUGAAGCUUGGGACAAAGGCAGAAAACACAUCAGUACUGCACUAACAGAGCAGCAGGUACCCUCAUAGUGAAGAUAAAAUGACAGUCCUUUAUGCCACCACUAUGGAGCUUAUGUCCCACUAUGGAGUUGCGAUCACCACAAAAACCUCAAGAGGAUAUAUCCUUGUCUGAAUUGCUACAGUUAUUAUCUGUUACAGAAAGUAAAAUAAGGUCUACCCAUGGACUUAUUUUCAAAGAACUUUUCAGUUACUGUUUUAUUAUAGUUAAAGACUGAUGAUGUACUUGGAAAAAUGAGUGUUAUCUAUCAGUUUCUAUUGCUUUGGCAAACGUGUAAAACUCCUCAAGUCCGAAUGGAGAAGUAGAGAAAGGAGGUUUCUGCUGUGCCUGAUGUCAAUUUUUGAUUUUUCCACACACAAAAAAUAUUCUGGCUCCACGUUGGGGCACUAGUUGUGAUGAAUCCUAAUCUUGGUCGGAUUCUAAGGAAGGGCCAGAACGUUCGUUGAGGAAUAAAGAGUCAAACUACUCCAGAAAAUGUGUUCCAGCCUUGGUUUAUUACUCACAGAGCAGCAGGUAACCCGAUAGCUAAAGAUAAAUCAAGUCAGUCUUGAGGCUGAUAACAUUAAAUACAACCCAUAGGAAUUUCAUUCCUCCAGGCAAUCCUUGAAGUGAAAUUUUAUAUUGCUGGGGUGUAUCCUUCAGAAUCAAUUGUUCCGAUGAGAACCUGACUUGUAAUCAGCAACAGCCUUGAGAUCAAAACUACUGGAAAGUUAUUUUGAACUUCUCUGUCGCAAAGAUUUCAACUGAUUGAACUGUGUACACUUGUAAAAUUACACUUGCUGAGGAAUUUGCAGCUGUAAUCACAAGAGUUGAUAUUCAAAAGGUGCAGACAAGCAGCAAUCUUUCGGAUUCUCCAUUCCAGAGCGGUGGCUUUUCAUCUUGAUGAAGUCAACCUCCAAAAUGUAUUGGUUUUUCUCUCUAAAAUGAUCCUUAGUCCACCAUUCAGAUUGCUGGUGGGACUGCAUACUGCUUUAAUUAAUUUUUUGUUGCAGAAAUUGUCCUCUGGCAUGGCGCAGUUUCAGACACUUUCAUUUGUAUUCUAAUCUUGGAGCUCUCAAAGGUACAUAUUUCAACAUCUUGAAGUUGCUUUUGUUAUAGGAAUGGAAAUAUAUGUCCAUUGUUAAUAAUUAUUGUUGACAAGUAAUAGUUACCUGAAUACAUCAGUCAUAUUAGAAUGUAUAGUCAGGGUGACAUGUUUCCCUACGGCUAACCAACUACUGCAGCUCUUUGGCAGUUAAAAAAGUAGUGGUCGAAACUCAAAUACCACUUCCAUUAUAAGGCAUUUUAUACCUUUAAGAUAAACAUUUCCGUUUAGUUUGAAGGAGAUGGGUGUUCCUGGUAUGUACUUUGCUUUCCCAACCUUUAAUUCAUUGACAUUUAUGGUAAGCACUCAAUGACAAUAUUUCAUCCCUUUUUAUAAAGGUAGGCAGGGAUGUAAAUGAGUUUUGCAAUUAUGAAAUUGGAUGGUAAUCAUUCAGAAUUUUUGUCUUUUUAUUAAAAAAAUAAAAUCUCUUGCUUGAACCUAAGUACUGUUGGAUGCUUAUGUAGAUGUCUGCUCAGUCUGUUUGCUGUAAAGGAAAAAAGUCCUAGUGCCCUCCCAGAUUUACAGUUUGUGGGUAUUUUGCUUGCUUACAGUCAUCCAAUUCAGAUGCAAUUCUUGCCAAAAUCAUGUUUCCUUUUUUAUUUUUUGUUUCAGUAUCAAUUUUUGAACUUUAUGAUGUGCUGUUACACACACAAAAAAAAUCCUCAAUAUUUAAAGGCCUUAAGCAUCUAUGAGCUUUUUUCCAAGUUAUUACAGAAUGUAUAAUUUUAUACUCCAUUUAAUGUAUAUUGUACCAUCUGUAAUAUUGAUGCAACAGAAAUUUGGCAAUUCCUUUUAGUAACACUGCUAAGCAUGCUGACUAGAGAGGGUAAGGGAGUUCUGACUGUAUGCCUUGGUGCAUUGAAAGGAAAAUCACACACACUUAAUUGUAGUCGAAAUUAUAUAGGGGCAAGCUUAUUUAAAAGUCCUGUGAGGUUACCAGACUCCCAGAAAAAGAGGGAAAUGAUUUUAUCAUUACAAGCCAUUGACAUGGCUAGGUAGUUAUAUAUUAAGUUCUAUGAUGGAUGAACACCCCGGAGUGCUCUGCCUGUCAGAGUAGCCCUCGCUGUUCCAAAAUCAUUCCAUUACCUCUGCUGUGCUAUUGCACAGGAGAGCUUAAAUAAAAUUUAAUAAAAAUUUAAUUGGGAUAAACAUUUUGUAGCACUCACUAGGUAUCUCAGUAUUUUAGGAUGGAUUAAUAUUGUAUGGGUUUGUGCUAACAGGUGCAGGACAUAAGGUAACAUCUUUAAGAGGUUGUCCAGGACAGUGCGAAGUGUAGAUGUGUUGUUUGGUCAGAUCUGAAUACGGUCUCUCUUUGGUCAAAAAUCUACAUCAUGCUUCUCAAUGUUUAUUUUCUUUGUUUCUUUGUUCUUAAACCAAUACUGAAGAUACUGUAUUAUAUUACAAGUGUAACACAUGCAUAUCAAUAAGUGAAAAUAAAUGGAUUUUCAAAUAUACUGAAUAGAUUAUCUGCAGUAGAUUAAUGUUGUGAAUAUUCAUAACAAGUGAAUAAAAUUGUAAUAUAAAAUA